RNAcentral lists this long non-coding RNA (215 nucleotides) under Elaeis guineensis (African oil palm). RNAcentral describes it as "long non-coding RNA (EGUI_LNC008187)". Lineage: Eukaryota; Viridiplantae; Streptophyta; Magnoliopsida; Arecales; Arecaceae. The record is from RNAcentral.
AAGAAUAGGGCCUUCCCUAUUUUGAGAUCUUUUUUCUUGUUUUGCCGACCAUCGACAAUGGUGGCUACUGUCGAGGUCAUCUCCUAGUCAGCAUCGAGCUCUUUAUCGAUUGCCAGGCUGAGUUCCUCUACCAUGGUCGGAUGAAGAGAGGAGGGGAGGGGAUUUGGGUGCCCUAUUUUCGUGAAGAAGGAAGAAGGAAGAAGAAAGAAGAAAUG